GACCAGCUGCACUCUGGCCAUGGCUUUGCAGAACUCUCUGGAAGCAGUGUGGCUGGGGCUUUUCCUCAGUCCUUUCUGGAAGGUUGCAGAGAGCAAGGACCAAGUGUUUCAGCCUUCUACCAUGGCAUCUUCCGAGGGAGCUGUGGUGGAAAUCUCCUGCAAUCACUCUGUGUCCAACGCUUACACCUUCUUCUGGUACCUACACUUCCCGGGAUGUGCGCCAAGACUCCUCGUGAAGGGCACUAGACCUGCUCAGCAGGGACGGUACAACAUGACAUACGAACGAUUCUCUUCAUCAUUGCUCAUCCACCAGGUGCAGGUGGCAGAUGCUGCUGUUUAUUACUGUGCUCUGGAGGACACAGAGGCAGGGAGCCCACAAAGAGCUGAGCAGAAACAGAGAGAGAUUACGACCUUUGCAGGAGGCAGAAAAGAGAUCAGCAAUAACUUCUCCUACUCUCUUCCCCCCAAUUCAGCAUUCCCUGUUCCAUUUGACUCUGCUAUUUGGAAAAAGAUUGAGUUCACACUUACUCUAUAUUAG
Molecule: non-coding RNA, 538 nt
Organism: Tupaia belangeri chinensis (Chinese tree shrew)
Lineage: Eukaryota; Metazoa; Chordata; Mammalia; Scandentia; Tupaiidae
Source: the annotation of a RefSeq genome assembly